UUCCUUCUGCUGACAGUAGGUUUUGUUUGUUCUUCUUUUUCUCAUUCUUUGAGGUGGAAUGUUAGAUUUUGCUUUGAGGUUUUUCUUGUUUUAAAGGAAGGCCUGUUAUCACUAUGAACUUCCCUCUGAGAACUGUUUUUGCCACAUCCCCUAGAUUUUGUAUGGUUAUGUUUUCAUUGUCAUUUGUCUCAGGAUAUUUUUUAUUUUGUUUUUGUUUUUUUGUCUUUUUGCCUUUUCUAGGGCCACUCUCACGGCAUGUGAAGGUUCCCAGGCUAGGGGUCAAACCAGAGCUGUAGCCACUGGCCUACGCCACAGCCACAGCAACGCGGGAUCCGAGCCGCAUCUGUGACCUAUACCACAGCUCACGGCAACACCGAAUCCUUAACCCGCUGAGCAAGGCCAGGGAUCGAACCUGUAACCUCAUGGUUCCUAGUCAGAUUCGAUAACCACUGCGCCAUGACAGGAACUCCUCAGGAUAUUUUUUAAUUCCUUUUUUAUUUCCUUGUUGAUGCAUUGGUAUUUUAGUAGCAUAUUGUUGAGUCUCUGUGUGGUCAGCUUAUUCUCAUUUAUUUUCCUGUGGCUUAUUUCUCAUUUCAUGUUAGUGUGGUCAAAGAAGAUACUCGAAAUAAUUUCUAAACUCUUAAAAUUGCUCGAGGUUAUUUUCAUGGCCCAGUACAUAGUGUCCUAAAGAAUGUUCCAUGUGCACUUGAAAAGAGUGUAUACUCUGGUUUUUUGGCUGUAAUGUCCUGAAAAUGUCAAUUAAGUCUAACUUUUUUCUAUUGCGUCAUUUAGGAUCUCUGCUGCCUCACUGGUUUUCUGUCGAGAGGAUCUGUCCGUUGAUGUGAGGGGUGUUGAAGUCUCCUGCUCUUGCGUUCCCAGGCUAGGGGCUGAAUUGGAGCUACAGCUGCCGACCUACACCAUGGCCACAGCGAUGUUAGCCCUGAGCUGCGUCUGCGACCUGCACCACAGCUCACGGCAACAACAGAUCCUUAACCCACUGAGUGAGGCCAGGGGUUGAACCUGCAACCUCAUGAUUCCUAGUUGGAUUUGUUUCUGCUGCACCACGAUGGGAACGCCUAUUUCUUGUUUUUUAUUUGUGGUCGCUUUGUUUUCCAAGUAUGUUAACCCUUUCCUGUGUCUGCUGACUUUAGACUAAUGAUCACAUAGGCUCAAACACUCUAAAGAAUCUAUAUUUCCUUUCCUUCUUUUUUUUUUUUUUUCCUCUUUUUUCUUUAGAGCCACACCAACAGCAUUUGGAGGUUCCCAGGCUAGGGGUUGAAUUGGAGCCAUAGCUGCUGGCCUACCCCACAGCCACACCAAUGCCAGAUCCAAGCUGCAUCUGCAACCUACACCAAAGCUCACAGCAAGUCCUUAACCCACUGAGCAAGCCCAGGGAUCGAACCCACAUCCUUAUGGUUGCUAGUCACGUUUGUUGCUGCUGAGCCACAAGGACUCUCUGUCUUCUCACUCUUCUUCCCCGCUUCUUAGGCGUUUGACCUUUUUCACAUCUUUAUGUUUGUCCCGUUGCUGUUCCGUGGGGGGGCGGGGGUUUGCCUACGCAGGUGGGAUUUUGGCUGCGAUCUGUGUCCUGACAUGUUCAAGCGAUUGCUCGCCAGUCGUGCCUUCCUUCAUCCUGGAUCUUCUUCUUUCCUGUUUUCCUUUAGGAUUGGCUUAAUUUAGGAUGGCCGUGUUCUUUCCGUCUUUGCUUGUCAGAGAAAUUCUUCAUUUUGCCUAUUUUAA
Molecule: long non-coding RNA, 1740 nt
Filed under: Sus scrofa (pig)
Lineage: Eukaryota; Metazoa; Chordata; Mammalia; Artiodactyla; Suidae
Description: lncRNA (ENSSSCG00015048284.1)
Source: RNAcentral